CCCCGUAGCCAAGUUACAGGCGCUAGAGCAUCCGCCUUCUAAGCGGACGAUCGAGGUUCGAUUCCUCGCGGGGGCA
This 76-nucleotide transfer RNA is filed under the name Elusimicrobiota bacterium. RNAcentral's name for it is "Elusimicrobia bacterium tRNA-Arg". It matches the Rfam family "tRNA". Rfam says of the family: Transfer RNA (tRNA) molecules are approximately 80 nucleotides in length. Their secondary structure includes four short double-helical elements and three loops (D, anti-codon, and T loops). Further hydrogen bonds mediate the characteristic L-shaped molecular structure. tRNAs have two regions of fundamental functional importance: the anti-codon, which is responsible for specific mRNA codon recognition, and the 3' end, to which the tRNAs corresponding amino acid is attached (by aminoacyl-tRNA synthetases). tRNAs cope with the degeneracy of the genetic code in two manners: having more than one tRNA (with a specific anti-codon) for a particular amino acid; and 'wobble' base-pairing, i.e. permitting non-standard base-pairing at the 3rd anti-codon position. Lineage: Bacteria; Pseudomonadati; Elusimicrobiota. The record is from RNAcentral.